Long non-coding RNA from Gasterosteus aculeatus aculeatus (three-spined stickleback), 1570 nucleotides. The record is from Ensembl. NCBI's taxonomy places the organism in Eukaryota, Metazoa, Chordata, Actinopteri, Perciformes, Gasterosteidae.
UCCCAAAAUGCAGCUGAUUGACCAGCCUCCGGCUGUCUCCAACAGGAAACAGCCACCUAAUGAUGAAAAAAAGUGUUUGUGUGUGUUUCACUCAAUGGAAUCCAAGGCAAACUGCAACUCUUGAGGUUUACAUUUGACAAGAUAUUAAGUGAAGUUCUAAAUAUUUUCAUGACAGUUUAUAAAUAAACCAGACCCUGCAACAGGGGGUUUGCAUACAAAAAUGGAUUUAACUCCAUAUACUCAAUUAUGACUGCUCACAUUAAGGUCUGUAGAUCUUGAAGAAUUAAAGUCACAUCAAUGUUAGGGCCAACCCAAUUAAACGCUUUCACCAUCACACCAAAUUUAAUAAUAGAUACUAAUCAUUUACUUUUCAAAGUCCACAUGAACCAUGAUCAAACUUGGUACAAAUUGGAUCCACUGCAACAGUAUUUAUUUAUCUCAUUCUCAUCUCAAGAAUUCAAUUUUCAUCAAAAUGAUGACCUGUGUGUUAACUGUAUGCCAUUUUUCAUAAUCGGAGGACACAAGGCUAAACUGCCUGUCUUGUUGCCGGUUGCUGAAAACAUUUUCAAAAGUCAGUUCUUAAAUAGACUAAGAGGCAGCAAAAAAAAUAUUGUGAGUUCGGAUAACUUCACGGAGAACAAUGUGAGCAAAAUAUAAUCACAAUCUGUUUUAAGCUAAUUUAAGCAAUGCAAAAAAAAGACCGAAACACUGACUGUCAUAAGCGUGUCAUCAUUACAGUGACUGUAGCUUAUUCAACGAAAUGGUCUUCUCUUCAGCUGUCUCUCCUAUGCUCCCCGGUGUGUGUGUGUGUGUGUGUGUGUGUGUGUGUGUGGCUUAACAUGAAGCGCGAGAGCAGUUAUUAAUUAUUGGAAUUCCAUUCACUUCCACUAUAAUAGUUUAAACAGUGGAGCUUACACUUGCAUUAAGAAAAUCACUCUCAGCUCCGCUCUCCACAUACAGCCUCAAGCACUCAGCCUCAGCGUAAACCUGCAACUAUCACAAGCCCAGGCUGCAGCUCCCGGCAUCCAUUCAGUGCAGAUCCAGCCUCGGUCUGCAGCCUCAGCAACCAUCAACUCAAACUGCAUUUUCUGUCAAUCAGUCGCAGCCACGGCAUCUCCCAGCAUCUGAUUGACAGCAAACUUCUCCAGUUAAUGUCAUUGAAAGUCAAUGUUCCAGCAAUCGGGUUUUUGUGUCCUACAGGUUUUGUGAACUUGAAAUAUUUACAAUUAAUAUUCUCAGUCAACCUUGGGUGUGAGUUAUGAAGUCCGAUGAUUACAUUGGAGCCGCUCAGAAAGUAAAUACCCGUCAUUAUAAUGCAAUGAAGAGCAAAGUAUUAAUCACUGCAGUGGUGUUUUUUUCGAUGUACUGUUAACUUGGCUUGAAAACAGCAAAGGGAUCCAUGAUUAGGACAGACGACAAAAAAAGCUCCUAACCUUUAGCUUUCUUGACACUUUCUCCAAAGGGUUUGAAUGAUGAAUUAAGAGUUUUAGCUUUAAUUAUCUAACUUUUUAACCUUUUGUGACAGCAAUGAGUGGAAAUAAGUAAGAGAGAAAGUUUCUGAACAUUUAUU